AGAGUUUGAUCCUGGCUCAGGGUUAACGCUGGCGGCGUGCCUUAUACAUGCAAGUCGAGCGAGGGCUCAUUUCCCGCAAGGGAGGUGGGUUCCUAGCGGCGAACGGGUGAGUAGCACGUGGGCAACCUGUCCUCUCGUGGGGGAUAACACCGAGAAAUCGGUGCUAAUACCGCAUGUCAUCGCUGGAGGCAUCUUCGGCG
This 200-nucleotide ribosomal RNA is filed under the name uncultured bacterium. RNAcentral describes it as "partial 16S ribosomal RNA". It matches the Rfam family "Bacterial small subunit ribosomal RNA", at positions 8 to 199 of the family's 1533-position model. The record is from RNAcentral.